Capsicum annuum is the source of this 6009-nucleotide RNA transcript. RefSeq lists it as uncharacterized. Lineage: Eukaryota; Viridiplantae; Streptophyta; Magnoliopsida; Solanales; Solanaceae. The record is from RefSeq and is a predicted model, not a curated record. The transcript is spliced from 7 exons.
UGAAUAUGGUAGGAGUGAAAUCUCUUGUUAUAUAAGCCAAUAACACCAAGGACCAACGCAACGUUAAUAAAUUGUACGUAAAGCUAUUUAAAUGAUACCAUCCAAUGGUACUUUCUCCUCUUUGUGGAAAAUAUGUGGCAACAUUAUUGUUAAACACGACAAAAGUGAACAAAAUACACAGCUUUACAGAAUCAGUCCACUCCAUCUUCCCUGCACCACACGCGCCUAUUGCUCUCACUUCCAUCUCCACUCUCCACUUACCCAAUCACUCCUUUACGGCGGCGCUGCUUUUAUCUCUUCUCUACCGUCAACCUCUGCCUCCGUCCAAUUCCAGCCAGAAAAAGUGAAAACAUGUCGGCGAUUCAGAAACCUUCCGAUAUAACCAAAGUUCGACUCGGCUUGCCUAGCAAAGGCCAAUGACUGCUGACUCUCUCGAUAUUCUCAAGAAUUGUCAUCAACAUGUAAAGAAAACAAUGGAAUAAAGAAAUAGACGACCAUUGAUAUCUUGGCAUAUUUGUUAGGUUAUUGCUUGGGAUAUUGACUUGCCCGUAAACCAACCGUCUCAUAUUCUUUGCGAGCAGAAAUGGAAUACCGACGAGGAUAGUGAUGACAGCUCUGAGUUUCCAGCUAGGGAGUCUAAGCGCGAACAUCAUUCUACUGCGCUUUUUACAAGGCUAUGCGUAUCUCCACCAGAACUUGCACUAACGCUGAAGCCUUUAAUCCGAAGUUGAGUAAGUUCUACACAUAUAUCUUUCUGUUUGUUGUAGAAGUACAAUUUAGUUUUCAAGAUUGUGCAAAGCUAUCUAUAUAUUUUGGUCUGAUUCACCUGUGCUAGAUUGAUUUAGGGCUCCUCUUUCCACGGACCCGUGCAUUCUCCUCAACCCCGGGAUAAAAGAGGAAUUUUUGUCAUCACAUGUCAUUUCUUUACCUUUUCACAAAAACUCAAGAGAGAUUGGACAGAGUACCGAGUAUUAAUUAUUGGUAGUACUGAAAAAAUUAGACUUUGAUGGUACAAAAACGGAAUAUCGACCAGGAUAGUGAUGACAGCUCUGAGCUUCCAACUAGAGAGUCUAAGCGCGAACGUCCUUCUACUGCGAUUUUUACAGGGAUACGCAUGGUCUUUCAAGUAUGAAGUCAAAUGAUCGCCUGUUGGAGCCGAUAAACCUAGACCUGACCUGUAAGUUUGAAUAAGCUAGCCAAACAUUUUAGAACUAGAACAAAAUGGUGGGAUUACUAUCCCAUAUAGCAAGCAAGAUAAAAAAGUUGGUUCACUGGCAGCUGUUUAAGAAAAAUGAAGGAAAUUGUGAAGAUAUGGGUCCUGGGAUAAUGAAUAGAGAAAGGCUCCGUGAUGAAAAAUUUCAAAGGUCGGUAAUGCUUUUCGAUCCUGUCAAUUUUUUGGUUGCCCUUCAACUUAUGAUCUUGAGGUGAGCACGAUGAAGAGUCAUUCGACACCAUCAAUUUUUUUCUAUUUGUUACCCACAAAUUUAGAUCGGAUUAUGAUUCUCCAUUUUUUACGUUCUGUUUGUUUUUGGCCUAAUUUGGGUGCUUAAGGUUUUCCAUAAGGGUUAGAGUUUGAAGCAAGAAAAAAUCUUCGGCUAGAUUGUAAGAUUUAGAAUCCUCACGUUAGUAGUAACCUUCAAGGUUCUGCAGUUCCUUUUCUGAAUUUGGAUAUCAUUUUGGGGUUUUACUUUUCUGAUAUGUUUGUAUCUUUGCAGAAAUGGAAGGUAAGGUUACAUAUCAGAGUUUUAAUCCAUCCAUCGGGCUGUCCUCUUAUGUUUGUCUCUUUUUCUUCAUACAAGUUCAUGAACUUUUAUUCUCCUUUUUCAUAAAUUACUUUGGACACUAUGUUCUCUGAUUUCUAAUAGCUUCACUUUGUUUUGUGGUGAGGGUGUGAGUUUUUCUUUGCUAACAUUUUCUUCAAGGAAUGUGAGAAAAAAUCCUCAAUGAAUUCUUGAGUUCCAUAAAGUAUGAUCAUGUAAACUGUCAAUGAGUGUAUUGAGUUCUUUUUAUUUGAUCAAGUACUUUGGUUAUAUAUAUUGAUUCCUAUUAAUGCUUCUAACUACUGCACUAUUGUAAGCGUUGAUUCACCCAUUGCAUUUGAAGUUUAAUUAUAUGUCUAAAUCAACUGAUUCUUUUUUUAGUUUUCACUUUUAUAUCUACCUGACUAAAAAAAUUGUCAACAUGCAAACAUCUUAGAUGAAAUAAAAGGGUAAAGAAAUAUAUCAAUAAGAUUGAAAUUCUCAAAAUGUGUUUUAUCCGUAAUGUGCUUUAGAUAGAUGUGAAUCUGAAUUAGGCAUGCUGGGAAUAUUCUUGUGAGCAGGCAAGGGGAAGAAGGACGAAUCCUACUUACACCAAUUGAUCAUGGUUACUGCUUGCCUGAGAAUGUAAGUUAUGAUUGUGUUUUUCGCGUAAAUGUUGUUUGACAAAUUAGAUGAUAAGAAAUGCUACAAACUUGUGGUUUCUUCCUUGCGAAUGGUUUUUCAUUUUCACUAACUUGAUUAUUGUGUAUGGAAGUUUUUAGAACUCUGAUGGUACAACUGCACAACUACAUUUCUAUGCCCUGUGGAUACUUCUAAUAUUCCAGUUUUGACUUCUCUGGUGUGGAGAAACAUUCAGGUGCCUGGUUUGGAUCCAAAUAAUUUGUUCUUUACCUGCAUGCAUUGUUACGAAUCAGAUCUCAAGAAAAGUGCUUACCCUGUCGAUGAGCUUAAUAUUUGCCCCAUAUAAUGUACCUGACAAUAGGGUUAACAAUGGUUUGGCUGGAUAUCGCCACUCCUAUCUUUAGGUCCAGUUCCCUCCUCCAAAUUACUUAGAAGUCUUUGAAAUUUCUUAAGAUCUGGUAAUAGAUUUGUCUUCUAUUACCAUUAGUAGCAUUGCUCAUUUUGCUGCCAAAGAUACAAUAGAUCAUUUCAACAUUGUGAUAAAGCUUGUUGUAUAUCUAUCAAUGUUCUACUUUUUCUGCAACCCGAGAUCAUCUUUCGUAGAUAAUUACAUUGUGUUACUGAAAAUUAGAAGCUGCUCUGCUGGACUGGGAUAUCAAUCUCAUGACUAAUGUUUUCCUGGAGGAACGCUUGAACAAGAUAAAUUACCGCAAUAAUAUGGUUCCAUAUAGAGUCCAUGCGGACACUUUAUAUGGUUCUUGAAAUUGUCAUUCCACCCCAAAUUCUCCACUUUCUUUGGGGGAAAAGGUGAAGAAGCAACAGACAGAUCUUCUACUACUACUACACUUCUAUUUCCAUUAAAAGAUUUUUCUCCUGUUUUUUAUCGAUAUAUUUUUUGGAAAAUUUUGUUACAUUUUUCUGAAGAAAAAAUGGAAUUAUAUGUCUUUUAUGAUCACAUGCGUAACUGAUCUGGCUAGAGAAACUCUGGCUUUGUUCAAAUUCAGUGUUGUUGUCCUAUGUUUUCUUGGUCGGAUUUUGUAGGCAAUAAAAGUGUCUUUCACCAUCUUUCAUGAUUUUUAGACCAAAAAGGUAGUUAAUGCACUUCAUUAUGGUGUUUGAUAAUCCACCACCUCAUAAGAAGAUUUCUAUCAGUCCGUGGAAGAGUGAAAGGGUCAUCUCUAAGGGGUCCAAGUGAGUUAGACUUGAGUAGGUUGAUUUCCUUCCGUGAUAUGAGUUACUACUCCGUGAUCUUUUUCAUGUUGUCAAAGAUUUGAACAAUGAAAAUAGAUGGCGAGUGCCUGAGGCCAGGCAUAUUAAUGGGAGGCCUAACAAGUGCUGCGAACCUAAAGGAGACUUUGACGUAGACUGAAAAUAAUGGGAAUCCUAUUGAGAAAGAAGAGGCAUGAAUUCCAAAAAUAUUGCAAUGGUGUUUGCUCCUAAUACUGGUGUACAACACUCUUGGGGCAGUUUGUCUCCUAUAAGACGAGAUUUUAUAGCAAAAAAACAAACAGAGAAUGAGUUGAAAUUUGGAAAGUAUGGAUGUAUGAUUCUCUAUCAUUACUUCUUUAAAUGGGUGCACAAUUUUUCAUGUGAAUCUACUCAACUAAUUUUCAUGUGCACAAUUAGCUUGUCAUGUAUAAUAAGUAAUUUUUCGCUUGUUCCUUGAAGAUGGCAGAUCCAUUGACUGCACUGAUAAAUGCCAUCCAAGUAAUGAAUUUCUUGAGGGCGUUCAUCGGGGAGGCCUUAAAAGAUAGAGAAGAUUUUUUUGUCGAACCAGAUUCUAUCUCUUACAUGGGCCAUCCUGAUGAGUAUGGUCAUUAAAGUCCACGACAAUUCUCUCUGGAGAACUCUAAUGAAUCAAAUGAAUUGACUGAACAGGUGUACACUGUAGAAGAACCCGAUUCAGCCAGUGUUUCUGAAUCUAAUCGAGUAGAUAACAUCACUGAUGAUGAAUAUCUUAGUUAUAAAACUUCUUCAGAGGAAUCCGAUGACAGUGCUGCUUGUGAAACUCUUAUUCAGGUUAAUACCAAGGCAAGAAAAUCCCUUGUGACAAUCUAAAAAAGGACACUCAAAAGAUGGGUAUGGUUAAUUUUUGUUGAUUGGUCUUAAUGUAAAAUUAAUUUUUGUGCAUACUAAUACUUUCCUUGCUAUCCGUUAUAUCUCAUGGAAAAAAAAAAUUAUUUCUCUUUAAUUUCUCUUUUAUAUACAAGUUGAAGGACUUUUCUAUGUUUAAGAUUUUUGUAUGACACCCGUUAGUUGCAUUUGAAGUAAAAUUACUUCAAACUUUAAAACUAUAGUUUGUGAAUGCAUAAAUUUUAAAAUCUUAUGAUCAUGUUAAUUUGUCGAGCUCCAGUUAGUUAUUUAGAGUAACGAUCAAAUCUAUGAAUAAUUUUACUAGCAACAAUUGCCUUCAGGUAAGGGUAGGACAAAUUACAUCAGUUUCUUUCCCAUGUACUGUAUUCUACCAUGUUUGAUGUGAUUUCUACUGAGUCUUAAAUCAAAUUCAUUGAACUGUAUACACUAAAAGCAUGCUCCAAAUUAGUUUGACAUCUGGUUGAGUCUAACCUCAGUUCAAAUCGCACAUGCAUUCUGUAAUGGUGCAUAAUACUUCAUGUUGUGCUAAAGUAGUAUUCAUCCUUGGCAUAGACGAACAAAUAAUGUUUUAUUCAUUUUCCUAAUUCAAUUCAAUUGUAUCUAUUGAUCAGAGUUAUACAGGUCUUAGAAAAUCUACUUUCUUUCAAGACGCUGCAUUGAAAUGGAAUAAUGGAACUAUAGAGUUAGGUGGCCUCAAUGACGAUGAAGUAAAAAGCCAUUUGCAGUUUCUCUUUUCAUACAUGUAUCAUAGUAUUCUUUAUCAAUUCUGCCGAUUCACAAUUUUGAUAUACAUGGUGCUUGAUAUUUUGACAUACAGAUGGAAUGCUUCUUAAAUUGCAGAUGUACAUUCAUCAUGUAUUAUGAAUCUCAAGCGACACAUGGGUUUUACCACGAGAAUGGAUUGCUUACUUUUUAGUUUUAAGAACUUGAGAAAGUAAGACCCAUUUUAUAGAUUAUCUGAGGAUUACAUGGCAGGUUAGAGUUGCUAACUAUGGUGAAGAAAUCUGGCAUGUUAGUGAAAGCCAAUAAGGAGGUUGAAAUCGCUUCAGAUGUUGAAAUGGAUCCCCACUUCUGGAGUGACGCCGUGGACUUGUAUUUUAUUCAUGGAAAGGAGUCUAGGGGCAUCAGCAAGAUGAUCUUAUAUUCUUUGUUAACAAAAUGGGUAUGCAGGGACAUGGAUCAAAUGCAGAUAAAGAAGUCUACUGGCAAAGAAAAGGAACAAGCUUUGAACAGCUAUCGAGUUGAACAAUGUGUUGAUAUUGAGCUACACUUGCAACGAGAAGUAUGAUGAAAAACAUAGCAACACCUACAAGUUAAGAUAGUUGUUGGAAGAGCACCAUUUUCAUGUAGAGCCAUAUUAUACACGUUUUUGUAAAGCUACUUCUAUUUAUGAUUCUUUAUCCUUUGAUUUCAGUACAAUCAUGAUAAUGACGGGCCGUGCCCCUCUACUUAGGGAUAAAUAAGUAAUGAGUUCGUACGUACAGUUAGCAAUAUUAGAAUAAAUAAGUAAUAAAAAUUCUCUACUUUUGUCUAG